GAGACUUUCUUUGUUGCUUAUAGUGGCUGAGCAUUAGCCCUGGAAAAGAAUGCAACAAAUGAUUCUUUUUUAUUAUUUAUUUAUUUAGCAAGAGAUGUUUUAAAGUAGAUGAAGCGUGCUUGUUGGAUUUAAGAGAAACUGGUCCAAGUUCCCGAUACUAAAAGAUGGAGCUGGAGCUUAAGAUCUCUACUUUUGAAAAACACUGGCACCUGGGGCUUUGAUAAACAGAUCCUCUUGCUGCUCCUGUAUAUGUGGGAGUCAAAUGGUUCAAGAUUGAAAUCAUUGGCUUCACUUUUCUCCAACAUUAAAUGGCAUAGGCUGUUGACAUGUACUUUAUAUUCCUGCAGUGAUUAUAAAAUCCCCUGUUCUGAAUAAAAUACAUUUUUCACUCA
Long non-coding RNA from Carassius carassius (crucian carp), 392 nucleotides. RefSeq lists it as uncharacterized. Lineage: Eukaryota; Metazoa; Chordata; Actinopteri; Cypriniformes; Cyprinidae. The record is from RefSeq and is a predicted model, not a curated record. The transcript has 2 exons.